This 88-nucleotide transfer RNA is filed under the name bacterium. RNAcentral describes it as "tRNA-Ser". It matches the Rfam family "tRNA". Rfam says of the family: Transfer RNA (tRNA) molecules are approximately 80 nucleotides in length. Their secondary structure includes four short double-helical elements and three loops (D, anti-codon, and T loops). The record is from RNAcentral.
GGUGGGGUGCUCGAGUGGUUUAAGAGAGCAGUCUUGAAAACUGCCGUUCCGCAAGGAACCGUGAGUUCGAAUCUCACCCCCACCGCCA